RNAcentral lists this long non-coding RNA (1026 nucleotides) under Lactuca sativa (garden lettuce). RNAcentral describes it as "long non-coding RNA (LSAT_LNC005108)". The record is from RNAcentral. Lineage: Eukaryota; Viridiplantae; Streptophyta; Magnoliopsida; Asterales; Asteraceae.
AUCCAAAGCUCGCUGAUGAUUGGUCGCUUAUGAGUAGUUGGAAGUAUGGUAUUGGAUGGACCAUAUCGACAUUAUUGAAAAGAUUAUAAUAAGAGUAAGUUGUCAUAUGGCAAAUAUGGAAAUGGUUCCAUAUUGGGAGUUGGAUAUUGAGAGUCUAUGUCUAGAUUAGAAAUUUUAUGCAAAAGGAUGUUCAAAGGAAUGUACUUUGAGUGAGAGACAUCACAUCUAUGGAAUUGUAUUGUAACAAUCUCGUAUAGAGGACUUUGUAAUUGCAUUUGCAAUAGUCAUUGUGACUUUUGUGCUAUGGCAUUACGAAAGGAUCAUUGCAUAAAAUGUUAGAAUCUGGCAUAUUCUAUAAGUGGCAAGAAUUUGAUAUUCUUUCACUUGUGAAAAGGAUUGGGAAUUGUGAAAUGAGUAUGAUUGGAAAUGUGUUCAUUUGAUCNAGAAUCUAGCAUAUUCUAUAAGUGGCAAGAAUUUGAUAUUCUUUCACUUGUGAAAAGGAUUGGGAAUUGUGAAAUGAGUAUGAUUGGAAAUGUGUUCAUUUGAUCUAUUUCACAAAGUAAGAACCAUAGGUAAGCAUUGUGUGCAUGCUAAGAGCAUGGGACAAGUGUUGUAAUAAUUCAAGUAAGAAGUUGAUUACCCGAAACAACAGAUAAUGAGUAAUCGAUAUGGUGAUAAAUAAAAGGUGUUUUAUUUAUACUCAAAGGUUUGAGGCCAUAUGGGAUUAGUAUUAUUCUUGUGUUUCACUUUGCAUGUUUUGACUUCCUGAAUAAUUUAAUUAGUUAAGAACAAUCAAAUUAUUCGAAUGGGCCACAAUCGUUCAUAUGUUGGAAGUAGAUAUGAAUGAAGACUGUCGUGAAUUGGUGUGUGGAUUGUCUAAAGAGUAUUAGACAUAAGCAAAUGUUUGUUGCAAUGUUCAUGAGUGCUUAUUAAUAUGAUUUGAGCAUUGGAUUAAACCCACGCUCACUUGGAUCACUUCAUGAAUUGUAUCACGAGUGACUGGUGAGACGAUAACAUCUUAUAUUC